This 386-nucleotide transfer-messenger RNA is filed under the name Candidatus Peribacteria bacterium. It matches the Rfam family "transfer-messenger RNA". From Rfam's summary of the family: Bacterial tmRNA, also known as 10Sa RNA or SsrA, is named for its dual tRNA and mRNA-like properties. Its role is to liberate the mRNA from a stalled ribosome. Lineage: Bacteria; Candidatus Peregrinibacteriota; Candidatus Peribacteria. The record is from RNAcentral. RNAcentral also lists the same sequence under 1 other name.
GGGGAUGUACUUGGUUUCGACGGAUGUAUACCCAUGAUCAUACACAGCCACGACGCGAUGGGCGUACCGCGUAUUCAGAAUCGCCCCACUCUAACGUGCAAAAUCUAACCUAAGACUCAACGUAGCUCAAAGAGCUAUGGCACUUGUUGCCUAGUGUUCGCUCGUCGUCUCUAAACUCCGCGAUAUAAGAUCGCACCAACGAGUUAUACCUGAUCGGAUCUCGCGCUCAAAAUACCGAUCACCUGGACCGAACGAAUCGAUAAUGGCUGUCCUUGGCCUUCGUCUUCCUGUUCGUGUCGUCAUCUGGUACUAAUCAAGCGACUAUCGUGGUAGACAUGUGUGCUCAUGACAUUCAGACAGGGGUUCGACUCCCCUCAUCUCCAAAA